CUACACAGUGCUGACGUAAUGAGUCCGUCCUGUGCCUAUUCAUUCAAAACAGGAUUGAGACGUCAGCUUGACAAAGCUUUCUCUCCUCGCAGGACCCCUAUUUGUGACCAAUUGUAAGAUCAUCUGAAGAUCGAGUCCGAUUGCCUGGCCAGGCCGGGCUGGGUGGUAUGUGCCCCCGUCACGCCGGAGGUUCCUGCUUUAGCGACGCCAAAGAUUGGGUGUGAGGGCAGCCCGCGGUGACAGAGACACGGAUCGGACCGAGAGAAAAAGGCUGUGGGCUUCACUGAGCAGAGUGACGAAGUAUUCAGGCCCUCAGGAGCGGUAACUAAAAUGGAGAAGCUGCGCUGAAAGGUGCCGUGGGCAAGUCAA
RNAcentral lists this long non-coding RNA (369 nucleotides) under Homo sapiens (human). RNAcentral's name for it is "HSALNT0246999". The record is from RNAcentral. Lineage: Eukaryota; Metazoa; Chordata; Mammalia; Primates; Hominidae.